RNAcentral lists this ribosomal RNA (492 nucleotides) under uncultured bacterium. Its description in RNAcentral is "partial 16S ribosomal RNA". It matches the Rfam family "Bacterial small subunit ribosomal RNA", at positions 30 to 507 of the family's 1533-position model. The record is from RNAcentral.
AUUGAACGCUGGCGGCAGGCCUAACACAUGCAAGUCGAGCGGUAACAGAUUGAUAGCUUGCUAUCAAUGCUGACGAGCGGCGGACGGGUGAGUAAUGCCUGGGAAUAUACCCUGAUGUGGGGGAUAACUAUUGGAAACGAUAGCUAAUACCGCAUAAUCUCUUCGGAGCAAAGAGGGGGACCUUCGGGCCUCUCGCGUCAGGAUUAGCCCAGGUGGGACUAGCUAGUUGGUGGGGUAAUGGCUCACCAAGGCGACGAUCCCUAGCUGGUCUGAGAGGAUGAUCAGCCACACUGGAACUGAGACACGGUCCAGACUCCUACGGGAGGCAGCAGUGGGGAAUAUUGCACAAAGGGGGAAACCCUGAUGCAGCCAUGCCGCGUGUAUGAAGAAGGCCUUCGGGUUGUAAAGUACUUUCAGUUGUGAGGAAGGCGUUGGAGUUAAUAGCUUUAGCGUUUGACGUUAGCAACAGAAGAAGCACCGGCUAACUCCGUG